GCUGGGUGUGUUAGCAUGUGCCUGUAGUCCCAGCUACUCAGGAGGCUGGGGCAAGAGGAUCACUUGAGCCUGGGAGGUGGAGGCUGCAGUGAGUCGUGAUGGUGCCACUCCACCCCAGGCAAAAGAGUGAGACCUUGCCUCUA
Molecule: unclassified non-coding RNA, 143 nt
Organism: Macaca mulatta (Rhesus monkey)
Lineage: Eukaryota; Metazoa; Chordata; Mammalia; Primates; Cercopithecidae
Rfam family: Metazoan signal recognition particle RNA
About the family: The signal recognition particle (SRP) is a universally conserved ribonucleoprotein. It is involved in the co-translational targeting of proteins to membranes.
Source: Ensembl